This is a long non-coding RNA of Cyprinus carpio (common carp), 514 nucleotides long. NCBI's taxonomy places the organism in Eukaryota, Metazoa, Chordata, Actinopteri, Cypriniformes, Cyprinidae. The record is from Ensembl.
UUCACCCCACGUCAGCCAAUCAGCUUCCAGCAACUACGCGAGCCUGGCUAACCGCUUUGGAAGAUGUUUCUUCUGAAACGACAAUGGAGAGGGGAUGGGGAUUGGAGGAAGGUGACCAGGACACUAUGCAAGCCUGCGUUUCCCACAGGAGAACCAAGGCUUAACUUAUUUGCCAAAUGGGCACUAACACUAAGGGGAAGGGCAGGAGCCAUGGGGGCUGAAGGAGGGUAAUAGGAGGUGUUCUAAACAGGAGGAAGAGGUUGAAUUGCUAAGAUUUAUUGUAGUCUUAGCGGUGGGUGAACUAAUUGAAUUGAUGACCUAAAACAAGGACGAACAAUUUCUAUUUAGCUGAGAUCACUCUAUCAGAAAGAUUGAGAGCCAUAUUUCAUUCAUCGUACUGUACCAUAGGUUAGCACAUUGAGUUACUGAUCCAAGGACCCUUCUCUUUUUGAUGCCUUAAUACUGUGCACCCAAUUGUAAUAAAGGCUAAAUUGGGCAAAAAUGGAUGUGACCU